This 261-nucleotide ribosomal RNA is filed under the name uncultured bacterium. Its description in RNAcentral is "partial 16S ribosomal RNA". It matches the Rfam family "Bacterial small subunit ribosomal RNA", at positions 57 to 305 of the family's 1533-position model. The record is from RNAcentral.
GCAAGUCGAGCGGAAACGAGAAGUAGCUUGCUACUUCGGCGUCGAGCGGCGGACGGGUGAGUAACACGUGGAUAAUCUACCUCCUUGUUUGGGAUAGCUUGUGGAAACAUAAGGUAAUACCGAAUGAGAUUCAUUAGUCAAAAGGCUUUUGAAGGAAAGGCGCUGAGGCGUCGCAAGGAGAUGAGUCCGCGGCCCAUUAGCUAGACGGCAGGGUAAAAGCCUACCGUGGCAAUGAUGGGUAGCCGGCCUGAGAGGGUGAUC